UAGGGUGCAAGCGUUAAUCGGAAUAACUGGGCGUAAAGCGUGCGCAGGCGGUUUUGUAAGACAGUGGUGAAACCCCGGGCUCAACCUGGGAACUGCCAUUGUGACUGCAAGGCUAGAGUGCGGCAGAGGGGGAUGGAAUCCGCGUGUAGCAGUGAAAUGCGUAGAUAUGCGGAGGAACACCGAUGGCGAAGGCAAUCCCCUGGGCCUGCACUGACGCUCAUGCGCGAAAGCGUGGGGAGCAAACAGGAUUAGAUACCCU
Molecule: ribosomal RNA, 259 nt
Filed under: uncultured Burkholderiales bacterium
Lineage: Bacteria; Pseudomonadati; Pseudomonadota; Betaproteobacteria; Burkholderiales
Description: partial 16S ribosomal RNA
Rfam family: Bacterial small subunit ribosomal RNA
Source: RNAcentral